Molecule: long non-coding RNA, 2657 nt
Organism: Macaca mulatta (Rhesus monkey)
Lineage: Eukaryota; Metazoa; Chordata; Mammalia; Primates; Cercopithecidae
Source: Ensembl
CUUUCUCAUAAGCUACCUUGCAGCAGGAGUGGAGAGAAGCCAUGAGACUGUGAUGCUGGCAAGUCAUAGUGAAAUGAGCUGCCGCCUUUUGAAGCUGUGCUGGGGGAACUGAAGAGGAUCUUGCCCAUUCGUCUACCAAAGAACACCAUCCUCCCAGAACUUCUUUUCUCACACUGGCCAGCACUGGGUAUUUUGUGCAGCAGACACUCAGGAAAUGCCUGUUGAAUUGACUUUUUAAUGUGCCGUACGAGAAAACAAAAGGCAAGACAUUUCAGAUUUUUCUGAAAUGAAGGAAUAAAUUUGCAUAAAUAUCAUAAGAAUGAAGAAGAAUUUUUUUACAAGUAUAAAUUUAGACGUGGAGCUUCGCGCUGCCUUCAUUUUCUCUCUGGGAUCCUGAGCCCUAGUGGGUGAAAUACCUUGUUUGUCUGUGGUAAUGGAAAGACCCAAGGCUUGAACUCAACUCUUGGAGCCCCUUUCCCACUCGGUAUUUCCCGUUUUCAGGAGAGGGAAGGUAAUGAGAGGUCACUAGGGGAUUCUAAGAACAUAAACUAUCCAAAAAAAUCAAUCAACUUUUCUGAUGAUAUUGAGGAUGGAUAGAAAUGCAGAGAGAAAUAAAAAGAGAACACACUGAUGUAUGCCGUUAUUGUGCUCCCUGUAGGAAUACAAGAGGAAGUCAGAGGUGUAGGAAGUGAAAGGGAAGGCGUGCAUUUGAUGUGUCUGGUUCAGUCUCCUGGGGCACACAGAAGGGUCGGCUGCAAACUUACGGCUCCCUGACUCACUCCUCUCAAUUGACUGCUUAUCAGAGUACAUGUGGGUGUGGACAUGUGAUCAUUUGUACUAUGACUGGAAGUAGAAUAUGAAUCAGUCCGGUAAGGUAAUGCUCUUUCACGUCAUUGGCGGUUCCCCACUAUAAGUUGGAAACAAUCCAACACUGGAUUUCAGCACAACUCUGGGAUAUUUACUAUGGAGGACACCUACACUGUACUGUGUGUGUUUCUGACAUCUUCCAGUCCAGAAGAACAAUGGGAAAAUUUAAGUUCCUCUUUACUUUGGGUAGGAUAACUGGUUGUUACUUCAAACAAGAUUCUGUGACUUGAUUACAGGGCUCUUUACCCCAAAUUGUGGAUUGAACCUGGGUCUUGAAUGCAAAAUGCAUUCAAGAAAGAAUUUCAAACUUCCUUGUGGAAAAACAAUUCAGUUUCAUUUAUUCAUAGGCACGGAUAUCUUUAAUGAAAACAUGCCUUAGAUUAAAAACAUAGAAACAAUGAUUCUUGAUCAUAUAAUUGUAAUAGCACCAUAAAUAUAUAUAAAAUAUCCCUCUCAAGGGCAAAAUUCUUCUUUGAUAUUACUAGUUUUGACAAGAUAGAUAUGUAUGUGUUUGUUUUUAGAGCAGACUUAAAACUAAACGUGGGUGUGUUGAUUAACGAGAUUGAUUAAAUGUGAGGGAAAGGGAAUGGGGGGCGAGAUCGUUCAGGCUGAUUCCGUGCUUCUGACUUGCGGAGUCGAUUACAUCUAGCAGAGAGGAGGAGGAGCGUGUGGACGUGGACGUGCUGGUGAGCAUUUUAGUUACUAAAUGCACAGACUGGAGACUGAUUACCGAAACCCUCCCUUCCCCCUCUCCAUAUGCAUUUUACAAAAAGACGAUAAUACGAAUUUCUACUUUAACCUUUUAACCUGGUUUUAAAAAUGAUUCUUAUUACAAUCUCUAACCCUUUAUUCUAGUGCCUUCCUGAAGCUGAGGAUGAUGAAGUGAUGGCCUUUUGUUGCCUCAUGCUCUGAGCUCCCAGGGUAUGGACGUGGUAGAUUUCAUGUCCCACCGCCGUCCCUCCAGUGCUGGGCGAUCUUAGUUAAGGCUUUGAUCUUACUUUGGGUCUGAAAAAUAAGACCAAAAAAACUAAUCUAGGUUUGAGUGUUAGGUCCCAAGAAAUAGCUAAUUUCAACAUUUUCCCUGACAUAGAAGGCUAAAGUGAGGCCAUUUCAUCACAUACUACCUGGGGAGAUGGGAAAUACAAAGACAAUGGCAGAAAGGGUAAAAUGAUGAAUUAAAAUAAUGAAUUACAUUCUUUUUUUUUAAUUUUAAAGUUUGAAAAGUUUGAUUUGAGAAUUAGGUGAAGGUGCAAGCCAAUGUCUUUGAUAGGGACCAGCAAGAGAUCAAAAGAACCAGCGUGUGGUAAAUAUCUUUUGAUGAGAAGAAACAAAUUCAGGUAUCUGUGGUAACACUCGUUUGUCUCCUUGUUUAUCUCCUCAACCAUCCUUCAAUCUACACAGAACCACCAGAGAAAAACCACUGCAGAGUCAUCAUGUUGCCCCAAAUAUCUCUUAGAGGGUUGACCUGAAAAUUAGAGUGGAAAUUCUUCUGCCGCUCAGCGUCUGCUUUUGGCCACUGUUGAAUAUCGACCCAUCUCAAGUGUACACAUGUCAUGUCCAUCACCCUUGAUUUGGGGAAAGCUAGCUGGAGCCAUAACUCAGAAUUCACCCUCUUUAAUAUGUCAACCAGGCUGAGCAAUUCUUAAAAACAACUCCUGUUUAUAAGGAGUUGAUAAAAGGGACUUACUGCUUUUUUAAAUAUUAAAUGCAACAUCUGAUAAUUACUUAGCAGUUUAGAACAGUGUCUAAAAUUCUUCUGUGGAGUCUGAAAAGAUGUUUCUAGGGCUGAA